RNAcentral lists this ribosomal RNA (812 nucleotides) under uncultured bacterium. Its description in RNAcentral is "bacterial SSU rRNA". It matches the Rfam family "Bacterial small subunit ribosomal RNA", at positions 1 to 812 of the family's 1533-position model. The record is from RNAcentral.
UAGAGUUUGAUCCUGGCUCAGAUUGAACGCUGGCGGCGUGCCUAACACAUGCAAGUCGAGCGGUAACAGGUGUAGCAAUACAUGCUGACGAGCGGCGGACGGGUGAGCAAUGUUUGGGAAUCUGCCUAUUAGUGGGGGACAACCCGGGGAAACUCGGGCUAAUACCGCAUACGCACUACGGUGGAAAGCCGGGGACCGCAAGGCCUGGCGCUAAUAGAUGAGCCCAAAUCGGAUUAGCUAGUUGGUGGGGUAAUGGCCCACCAAGGCGACGAUCCGUAGCUGGUCUGAGAGGACGACCAGCCACACCGGAACUGAGACACGGUCCGGACUCCUACGGGAGGCAGCAGUGGGGAAUAUUGGACAAUGGGCGAAAGCCUGAUCCAGCGACGCCGCGUGGGUGAAGAAGGCCUGCGGGUUGUAAAGCCCUUUCGGUGGGGAAGAAAAGCCUCGUUUUAAUACAGCGGGGUCUUGACGUAACCCAAGAAAGAAGCACCGGCUAACUCUGUGCCAGCAGCCGCGGUAAUACAGAGGGUGCGAGCGUUAAUCGGAAUUACUGGGCGUAAAGCACGCGUAGGCGGCUUUGCAAGUCGGGUGUGAAAUCCCCAGGCUUAACCUGGGAACUGCAUUCGAGACUGCAUUGCUAGAGUAUGGGAGAGGGAAGUGGAAUUUCCGGUGUAGCGGUGAAAUGCGUAGAUAUCGGAAGGAACAUCAGUGGCGAAAGCGACUUCCUGGACCAAUACUGACGCUCAUGUGCGAAAGCGUGGGGAGCAAACAGGAUUAGAUACCCUGGUAGUCCACGCCAUAAACGAUGA